This 253-nucleotide ribosomal RNA is filed under the name uncultured bacterium. Its description in RNAcentral is "partial 16S ribosomal RNA". It matches the Rfam family "Bacterial small subunit ribosomal RNA", at positions 524 to 776 of the family's 1533-position model. The record is from RNAcentral.
UACAGAGGUCCCGAGCGUUGUUCGGAUUCACUGGGCGUAAAGGGUGCGUAGGUGGCAUGGCCAGUUUGAUGUGAAAGCUCAGGGCUUAACCCUGAAAUGGCAUUGAAUACUGCUGUGCUGGAGGUUUGGAGGGGGGACUGGAAUUCUUGGUGUAGCAGUGAAAUGCGUAGAUAUCAAGAGGAACACCAGUGGCGAAGGCGAGUCCCUGGACAACACCUGACACUGAGGCACGAAAGCUAGGGGAGCAAACGGG